This 327-nucleotide unclassified non-coding RNA is filed under the name uncultured fungus. Its description in RNAcentral is "partial contains 5.8S ribosomal RNA and internal transcribed spacer 2". The stretch from base 1 to 133 matches the Rfam family "5.8S ribosomal RNA", at positions 22 to 154 of the family's 154-position model. Lineage: Eukaryota; Fungi. The record is from RNAcentral.
UGGUUCUGGCAUCGAUGAAGAACGCAGCGAAAUGCGAUAAGUAAUGUGAAUUGCAGAAUUCAGUGAAUCAUCGAAUCUUUGAACGCACAUUGCGCCUAACAGUACUCUGUUAGGCAUGCCUGUUCGAGCGUCAUUUCAACCCCCAAGCCCUAGCUGCUUGACGUUGGGAGCCUGCAGCUGCUGCAGCUCCUCAAAUUUAGUGGCGGAGCCAGGUCAAGCUCUGAGCGCAGUAGUUACAUCCUCGCUCCCGAUGCUGCCCUGUAUCCCGCCGUAAAACCCCCUAAAUUCAUUCUGGUUGACCUCGGAUCAGGUAGGAAUACCCGCUGA